This 72-nucleotide transfer RNA is filed under the name Nanobdellota archaeon. RNAcentral's name for it is "tRNA-Phe". It matches the Rfam family "tRNA". Rfam says of the family: Transfer RNA (tRNA) molecules are approximately 80 nucleotides in length. Their secondary structure includes four short double-helical elements and three loops (D, anti-codon, and T loops). The record is from RNAcentral. Lineage: Archaea; Nanobdellati; Nanobdellota.
GGGGCUGUAGCUCACCGGGAGAGCAUCCGGCUGAAGACCGGUUGGUAGGGGGUUCGACUCCCCCCAGCCCCA